RNAcentral lists this ribosomal RNA (417 nucleotides) under uncultured eukaryote. RNAcentral's name for it is "partial 28S ribosomal RNA". It matches the Rfam family "Eukaryotic large subunit ribosomal RNA", at positions 1729 to 2129 of the family's 3401-position model. The record is from RNAcentral.
AAUUAUUUCGAGAUAAGGAAAAGUUGUUUUGGUAAAGCAUUUAAAUUUUUAAAUGUCCGGGUAAUAUUCUUUAUCCCUUGAAAAUCAGAUGGAAAGUAAAAUUAUCAGUUUUAAUCGUACUCAUAACCGCAUCAGGUCUCUAAGGUUAAUAGCCUCUGGUUAAAAUAGAAUAAUGUAAAAUAAGGGAAGUCGGCAAAAUAGAUCCGUAACUUUGGGAAAAGGAUUGGCUCUAAAAGAUAAAAUCUGAAAAGACUGUUUAAAGAAAAAAAGAUGUCUAAUUUUAAAGGAAUGUUUGUAAAGAUAGAUUUUUUGGGAGGUGAAAUUUGAUUGGAAGGGGAUUGUUAAAAGGGAAAUAUAAAAAAUGGAUCGAAUUUUUGGGUUAUUUAAUAUCUAAUUUAGAACUGGUACGGACAAGGG